Molecule: ribosomal RNA, 497 nt
Filed under: uncultured bacterium
Lineage: Bacteria
Description: partial 16S ribosomal RNA
Rfam family: Bacterial small subunit ribosomal RNA
Source: RNAcentral
GAUGAACGCUGGCGGCGUGCCUAAUACAUGCAAGUCGAGCGAACAGACGAGGAGCUUGCUCCUCUGACGUUAGCGGCGGACGGGUGAGUAACACGUGGAUAACCUACCUAUAAGACUGGGAUAACUUCGGGAAACCGGAGCUAAUACCGGAUAAUAUAUUGAACCGCAUGGUUCAAUAGUGAAAGACGGUUUUGCUGUCACUUAUAGAUGGAUCCGCGCCGCAUUAGCUAGUUGGUAAGGUAACGGCUUACCAAGGCAACGAUGCGUAGCCGACCUGAGAGGGUGGUCGGACACACGGGAACUGAGACACGGUCCAGACUCCUAGGGGAGGCAGCAGUAGGGAAUCUUCCGCAAUGGGCGAAAGCCUGACGGAGCAACGCCGCGUGAGUGAUGAAGGUCUUCGGAUCGUAAAACUCUGUUAUUAGGGAAGAACAAAUGUGUAAGUAACUAUGCACGUCUUGACGGUACCGAAUCAGAAAGCCACGGCUAACUACGUG